UAGGGAAUCUUCCGCAAUGGGCGAAAGCCUGACGGAGCAACGCCGCGUGAGUGAAGAAGGAUUUCGGUUCGUAAAGCUCUGUUGUUAGGGAAGAAUGAUUGUGUAGUAACUAUACACAGUAGAGACGGUACCUAACCAGAAAGCCACGGCUAACUACGUGCCAGCAGCCGCGGUAAUACGUAGGUGGCAAGCGUUGUCCGGAAUUAUUGGGCGUAAAGCGCGCGCAGGUGGUUUAAUAAGUCUGAUGUGAAAGCCCACGGCUCAACCGUGGAGGGUCAUUGGAAACUAUUAAACUUGAGUGCAGGAGAGAAAAGUGGAAUUCCUAGUGUAGCGGUGAAAUGCGUAGAGAUUAGGAGGAACACCAGUGGCGAAGGCGGCUUUUUGGCCUGUAACUGACACUGAGGCGCGAAAGCGUGGGGAGCAAACAGGAUUAGAUACCCUGGUAGUCCACGCCGUAAACGAUGAGUGCUAAGUGUUGGUCUCAUAAGAGAUCAGUGCUGCAGCUAACGCAUUAAGCACUCCGCCUGGGGAGUACGACCGCAAGGUUG
RNAcentral lists this ribosomal RNA (548 nucleotides) under uncultured bacterium. RNAcentral's name for it is "bacterial SSU rRNA". It matches the Rfam family "Bacterial small subunit ribosomal RNA", at positions 355 to 896 of the family's 1533-position model. The record is from RNAcentral.